UACGUAGGGUGCAAGCGUUGUCCGGAAUUAUUGGGCGUAAAGAGCUCGUAGGCGGUUUGUCGCGUCUGCUGUGAAAACUCGGGGCUUAACCCCGGGCCUGCAGUGGGUACGGGCAGACUAGAGUGCGGUAGGGGAGACUGGAAUUCCUGGUGUAGCGGUGAAAUGCGCAGAUAUCAGGAGGAACACCGGUGGUGAAGACGGCUUUCUGGACCAUAACUGACGCUGAGGCACGAAAGCGUGGGUAGCAAACAGG
This 253-nucleotide ribosomal RNA is filed under the name uncultured bacterium. Its description in RNAcentral is "partial 16S ribosomal RNA". It matches the Rfam family "Bacterial small subunit ribosomal RNA", at positions 524 to 776 of the family's 1533-position model. The record is from RNAcentral.